ACGGCUCAGUAACACGUGGAUAACCUGCCCUUGGGUCCGGCAUAACCCCGGGAAACUGGGGAUAAUUCCGGAUAACGCACAUAUGCUGGAAUGCUUUAUGCGUAAAAUGGAUUCGUCUGCCCAAGGAUGGGUCUGCGGCCUAUCAGGUAGUAGUGGGUGUAAUGUACCUACUAGCCUACGACGGGUACGGGUCGUGAGAGCGAGAGCCCGGAGAUGGAUUCUGAGACACGAAUCCAGGCCCUACGGGGUGCAGCAGGCGCGAAAACUUUACAAUGCUGGCAACAGCGAUAAGGGGACCUCGAGUGCCAGGAUACAAUCUUGGCUGUCGUAAUGCCUAAAAAGCAUUAUAUAGCAAGGGCCGGGCAAGACCGGUGCCAGCCGCCGCGGUAACACCGGCGGCUCGAGUGGUAACCACUAUUAUUGGGUCUAAAGGGUCUGUAGCCGGCCGGAUAAGUCUCUUGGGAAAUCCAGCUGCUCAACAGUUGGGCUUUCAGGAGAUACUGUUCGGCUCGAGGCCGGGAGAGGUGAGAGGUACUUCAGGGGUAGGGGUGAAAUCUUGUAAUCCUUGAAGGACCACCAGUGGCGAAGGCGUCUCACCAGAACGGACCUGACGGCAAGGGACGAAAGCUAGGGGCACGAACCGGAUUAGAUACCCGGGUAGUCCUAGCCGUAAACGAUACUCGCUAGGUGUCAGCCACGGUGCGACCGUGGUUGGUGCCGUAGGGAAGCCGUGAAGCGAGCCACCUGGGAAGUACGGCCGCAAGGCUGAAACUUAAAGGAAUUGGCGGGGGAG
RNAcentral lists this ribosomal RNA (793 nucleotides) under uncultured archaeon. RNAcentral describes it as "bacterial SSU rRNA". It matches the Rfam family "Archaeal small subunit ribosomal RNA", at positions 85 to 876 of the family's 1478-position model. The record is from RNAcentral.